AAUCAGUACCCAAAAAGUAGCUCUUGGUUUCAUAAAGGUUGGCUACCCCUGAUCUAGCUGAAUCAUCACAUGGAUUGCGAAGUAUUUUGUUCAUGCACGUCGCAACAAGCCUCCCUUCACAACAUGUUACAUAAUAAAAACGAUUAACGGUUAAUUACAGAGUAAGUGGAAGCGAAGUGAGGCGACGUUACCCCGUAUUUAGCUCCCAGUCCUUGCUCCGCAUCGGCGUUAAGACAUUGUUGAAAUCAUCACUGGAUUGGGCAGAGAUUAUCAGUUAGAUCGAGAAGAGGGAGUAAAAAGGUCCAUAGUCUCCCCGCCGAUGCUCGCCAAUGCAUGCUAGCGCGCGCUAGCUAGCCACUUUGUUUACAAGACAAUGGAAGCCUAGCGGACACAGAAGGGAAGACGCCGCGUCCUCCGCCCUCCUCGUCUUUCUUUAAAGCAGCGACCUUUGUUCCGCGGUGUUUAAAUCGUAACAGGUGCCGUCGACUUCCAUCAGACACUUGCCUCAAGACACCCGUGGACACACGCUUCCGACUAUCAGGUACUAUUAAACUCACUAAAACACCAGCAACACAAUAGAAAGAUAAGGGAUUUCCCAGAAUUAUCCUUGUAAAUGUGUCUAAAAACAUCUGAAUCCGUCCCAAUGCAAUCGUGUUGUUUUUUUUUUCUUGUUUUUUGUUUUGUUUUUUGUUUUCUAGUCCGUCGCUAUCAAUAUCCUCAAACACAAAUCUUUCAUCUUCGCUCAAAUUAAUGGGGAAAUUGUUGUUUUCUCGGUCCAAAUAGCUCUUUUUGUUGGAGGCUCCCAUUAAAAACAAUGUGAGGAUCUUAGGAGCCAUCAACAGGUGACGUCAUUGUCUGCGACUUCCGGUAAAGGCAGUGCUUUUCUGUUAGCGACCGAAAGUUGCGAACUUUAUCGUGGAUGUUCUCUACUAAAUCCUUUCAGCAAAAAUAUGGCAAUAUCGCGAAAUGAUCAAGUAUGACACAUAGAAUGGACCUGCUAGCCCUGUUUGAAUAAGAAAAUCUCAUUUCAGUACGCCUUUAAGGUGAUACAACUACAACUACUAUCCAGUGAAGUUGGCACAUUGUGUAAAUCGUAAAUAAAAACAGAAUACAAUGAUUUACAAAUCCUUUUCAACUUAUGUUCAAUGAAUAGACUGCAAAGAAAAGAUACUUAAUGUCUGAACUGAGAAACUUAUUCUUUCCCUCCAAAUAAUCCUUAACUUACAAAUUAAUGGUAGCAACACAUUGCAAAAAAGUUGGCAAAGGGGCAUUUUUACCACUGUGUUACAUGGCCUUUGCUUUUAACAACACUCAGUAAACGUUUGGGAACUGAGGAGACCAAUUUUCUAAGCUUUUCAGGUGGAAUUCUUUCCCAUUCGUCAGACCACAGAACACUUAUCCACUUUGCAUCAGUUCAUCUUAGCAUUUCUGGGUGUUGUUGAUAAAUAGCUUUCGCUUUGCAUAGUAGAGUUUUAACUUGCACUUACAGACGUAGCGACAAACUUUAGUUAGUGACAGUGGUUUUCUGAAGUGUUCCUGAGCCCAUGUGGUGAUAUCCUUUACGCACUGAUGUCGCUUUUUGAUGUAGUAACGCCUGAGCGUUCAAAGGUCACGGGCAUUCAAUGUUGGUUUUCUCCAGAUUCUCUGAACCUUUUGAUGAUAUUACGGACCUUAGACGGUGAAAUUCCUAAAUUGUUUGCAAAAACUCGUUGAAAAAUGUUGUACUUAAACUGUUUGGACAAUUUGGUCACACAUUUGGUGACCCUCGCCCUGUCAUUGUUUGUGAAUGACUGACCAUUUCAUGGAAGCUGCUUUUAUACCCAAUGAUGGCACCCACCUGUUCCCAAUUAGCCUGUUCACCUGUGGGAUGUUCCAAAUAAGUGUUUGAUGAGCAUUCCUCAACUUUGUCAGUCUUUUUUGCCACCCGUGCCAGCUUUUUUUAAACAUGUUGCAGGCAUCAAAUUCCAAAUGAGCUAAUAUUUGCAAAAAAUAACAAAGUUUUCCAGUUCGAACUUUAAAUAUCUUGUCUUUGCAGUAUAUUCAAUUGAAUAAAGGUUGAAAAUGUUUCGGAAAUCAUUGUAUUCUCUUUUUAUUUACGAUUUACGCAACGUGCAGACUUCACUAGUUUUGGGUUUUAUAGUUGAAUGACAUCUCUGUCAUGGCCUGAGGGGGUCUGUAUCGCUUUUAAGCAACUUUAAGGAAGUCACUGCCACACCAAAAAACACAAUUGUGCAGACGGCUUAUGUUACACGUCACUUCCCCCUUUCCCCAUUCGUCGCAAAAAGGUAAGUCGAUGCUAACGCCUACGUGCAAUUACUGCUAUCAUGGCCGAAGCUGCGAAACACCCCCAAAAAAAUAAAGCAAAAGUUUUGUCUGAGGUGACAAAAAACAAAAGAAAAAGGGAGGCUACCUGGAUAAAAAGAUAAACAAGGAUCAACAUUGGCCCGCUGUUGUGAGCUCAAAGACGGGAGGGGUUUCGACUGUUGCUGCCUGGGCUCUGGUCCUGCUCUACUUACUAGUAAAGUACCUUUUCAAGCGCAAAUCAAAACGAUAAUGAUAAUCUUUGGAGGAAGAAGAAUACUGAGUUGCAUCCUAAGAACACCAUACCUACUGUGAAGCAUGGGGGGUGGAAACAUCAUGCUUUGGGGCUGUUUUUCUGCUAAGGGGACAGGACGAUUGAUCCGUGUUUAGGAAAGAAUGAAUUGGGCCAUGUAUCGUGAGAUUUUGAGCCAAAACCUCCUUUCAUCAGUGAGAGCUUUGAACUUGCACAACGGUGGCUGACUGAAUACUUUUUUGCCCCACUGUUUUUGCAUAUAACGAGAUAAAGGACUCAAAUUUAAGGUGCGGUAGUGGGAACAAAUAUGGGAUAAAAAUAAAUUACACAACAAGUAAUCAAGAUAAAACUAAGAAUUGACUAUCCAAUAAAAAUAAUAAGCAACCCUGUACAAUAAAAUAAAAUCAAUACAAUUAAUUGGGUGGUAACAGUUUCAUUUUUAAAUCAGGCAGAAUAGAAAAAAAUAUGGAAUCACUCAAUUCUGAGGAAGUAAUAAUACAAACAAACAAAAUAACACUACAACAUACCACUAUGUGAGGACGGUGUGAUGAAGUUGGUAGAGUGGCCGUGCCAGCAAUCUGAGGGUUACUGGUUCAAUCCCCACUAUACCAUCCUAUUCACGUCCAUUGUGUCCUUGGGCAAGACACUUCACCCUUGCUCCUGAUGGGUCCUGGUUAGCGCCUUGCAUGUUAGCUCCCGCCAUUAUUGUGUGAAUGUGUGUGUGAAUGGGUGAAAGUGGAAAUACUUUCAAAGCGCUUUGAGUACCUUAAAAAAAAGGUAGGAAAGCGCUAUACAAGUACAACCAUUUUACCAUUUUUAUUUUACUAGUACUUUCUUGCACCACCCCUGGCUUUUAUAACAUCUUGCAGUCUUUGGCUACAUUUACACUGCAGGGUAGGAUGAGGAUGAGCAAUUCGGAUUAUUUAGUCAAAUCCCAUUAUUUUAUCAAAUUGUUCAUAUUACAAAAUGUCUAAUGUGAGCAUAAUUUGACACAUGACGUCAUGCAGUGUUUACAGAAGUAAACAUGGCUCCACUUCUAGUCGGUCUCAGUCCUGGCACACUUGUGGCAAUUUUCAAAGGUUUUGUACAGUCAAUAUUUUCUGAACCGAAUUAGAAGAAGGAAGAGAGGAAGUAUUUUGGCUCAUGCAGUUCGUGGGACAUUUGCUUUGAUGUCUGCUACAAAGAGCGUGUGGGCGAGCAGUCGGAGACAUGAGUUCCUUAAACAUUUUUUUCGCCGGUUUUAUUCGUGCUAUUUAUUUUGAAAUCCUCUAUUUUGGUAAAGAAUUAUGACUUUAUCGCUUUUUGGUGACGGACUAGUUGAAGGAACUCGACCGAUUGUUCAGACUGCUGUCGUGUCAAAUACAUAUCUGAUUUAUAUUCAAACAAAAAAAGAGGUCAACUUUUCAAUUUGAUUGAGAUCCAGACUAUUUGCAGGCCACAACAUUGACCUUAUGUAUCUUUCUUAAAGGAAAUCGUUUAAAGUUUUAUCUCUAUGGCAAGAUGCAUUAUCACCGAUGUGUCAAAGCCAAGGCCUGAGGGCCAAAUCCGGCCCACAAAUGAAUUAUCUAUAGCCCCGGCAUGACAUUUGAUUAGUAUUAGAAACGGCCCGCAGGCCACAGCCGCCUGCUGCUGUUUUGCACGCACCAAUACUCAAUCAAUGUUGGCGCUAGAAAUUUUCAAAAUGACCCCAUCAAGUCAUAAAAAUGGGGUCCCCACAGAACAUUUUUGGGGUUCCACUUUUUUGUAACAGUUUUGGGAAAAAAAAGAUAAAUUUAUGCAUUAUCCUGUUAUAUCUCACAUUUUAUAUUGUGUUUUUGAAAAAAGGUUGUCAUAAACGUUACUUAAUUCAUUAAAAAAAACUAAUACAAAAGAAAAUAAAUUUUUAUGCAUAUGUAGAUGUAUUCAGUUAUAAACAUUCAUACGCUUUCUUCUUUCCAUCAUGGAUCUAAACUUAACAGCUGCCGGUAUUUUUAAAAUAUUUUUAUUGUGUUAUUUUUAGAAUGUGUUUGUUCUAUUUUUUUGGCCAAAGUAAGACAAAGAAAAUAGUCUAAAGUUGUCUUUAUUUUUCAGUUUUAAUGCGAUGAUUUUAAUAGUCCGGCAAGAUUUUGAGUUGGGUCUGAGCUAAAAUGAGUUAGACACCCCUGCAUUAUCAUCACCAAACGUCUUUUAGAUCAGGGGUGUCAAACUCAUUUUAAAUGAGGGGCCACAUGGAGGAAAAUCUAAUCCUAUGUGGGCCGGACUGGUAAAAUUACGGCACGAUAACAUAAAAAUAAAGACAACUUCAGAUUGUUUUCUUUGUUUAAAAAUAGAACAAGCACAUUCAGAAAAUGUACAAAUCAUAAUGUUGUUAUUGUUGUUUUAUUACACUUACUGUACAUGCGGUUAAUAGUAUUCUACCUUUAUUUCUCAUUAUUUAAACUUUCUGAAUAAAUGAUGUGAUAAUGUUCACCAGUUAACUCACUGGUGUUAAUUUUAAAUCCAUCAAGAUAAAAAAUAAUACAAAAAUCAAAUUACAGGAUGUUAUUUAUUAGGGCUGCGAAUCUUUGGGUGUCCCACGAUUCGAUUCAAUAUCGAUUCUUGGGGUCGCGAUUCCCUUAUAAAUCGAUUUUUUCGAUUCAACGCGAUUCUCAAUUCCAAAUCGAUAUUUUUCCAAUUCAAAACGAUUCUGUAUUCAUUCAAUACAUAGGAUUUCAGCAGGAUCUACCCCAGACUGCUGACAUGCUAGCAGAGUAGUAGAUAAUAAAAAAAAAUGUUUUUAUAAAUUGUAAAGGACAAUGUUUUAUCAACUGAUUGCAAUAAUGAAAAUUAGUUUUAACUAUUAAACAAACCAAAAAUAUGACUUAUUUUAUCUUUGUGAAAAUAUUGGACACAGUGUGUUGUCAAGCUUAUGAGAUGCGAUGCAAGUGUAAGCCACUGUGACACUUUUGUUCUUUUUCUUUUUUUUUAUAAAUGUCUAAUGAUAACGUCGAUGAGGGAUUUUUAAUCACUGCUAUGCUGAAAUUAAAGCUAAUAUUGAAACUGUUUUUGAUAAUAUUCAUGUUUGUUUCACUACUUUUGGUUUGUUCUGUGUCGUGUUUGUGUCUCUGUUGUGGGACAUGCGCAUUCUGCGUCUCUCUCCGCUGCGAGUCCAACCAGAGGACCCGCCGACAGCGCACUCCAGACACGCCCCCGCAUUCAUCAAGCGGACCGCGCCCACUCUCCGCCGCAGCCGGCUGCAGGACACACCUGUGACUGACGAUGAGCAGCAUAAAAGACCAGUGGACACAGGGAUCCGUGCGGGAACUUAGUUUCAAAUGCGUACCAAUUCUCCGUCGCCCGCAAGGUGAGCUGUGCGUCUCACUCUUUUCCCUGGAUCUCCCUCUGGAUUCUGACUGCCUCCUUUGUACCUCGACUCCUCGCUCGUUUGACCUGAACCCUCUGCCUGCCCCACGGACUUCCGCGUUCUCUUUUGUCAACACUUGGGUAAAACACACUUCAGUUAAUUUACACACUUAGACUAACACCAUACACUCUAUAGUUUUUGCCACGCUCCAUUUACUUAGUAUGUUUUCUGUUGAUUGAUUAUUACAUAUAUACAUUUGUUAAAAUAUAUAUAUAUAUAUAUAUACAUAUAUAUAUAUAUAUAUAUAUAUAUAUAUAAUAAAUAUUUGGACAUACUGCCACCUGGUGUCCGUUUGCCGUCAGGUCCUCCCUUAGUAAACCAUAACAGUCUCCUCUCAAUUGCUCUGUUUAUUGCAGUUCUGAGUGUUGCUGGGUCAGGUUUGGUUUUGGAAUUGGAUUGCAUUGUUAUGGUAUUGCUGUGUAUUUUGUUGGAUUGAUUAAAAUAAAUAAAUAAAUAAAUCGAGAACUGAUUCUGAAUCGCACAACAUGAGAAUCGCGAUUCAAAUCCAAAUCGAUUUUUUUCCCACACCUCUAUAAUUUAUGUAGUUUGCUCAUUUUCCUCGACUGUUGCACUAACAUCAUAUGUCUUUUUUGUUGUUUUUUUUAAAUAUAUAGCAUCAUCUACAAAGAUACAAAGAAUUGCUAUUGCGACAUCUAGUGGACACAAUUAGAACAGCAGUUUCUUUUAUUCAAAAAUUUCGGCUCAUUUUUAUACUUAGAAAACUCAAUCAAUCAAUCAAUCAAUGUUUAUUUAUAUAGCCCUAAAUCACAAGUGUCUCAAAGGGCUGCGCAAGCCACAACGACACCCUUGGUUCAGAUCCCACAUGAGGGCAAGGAAAAACUCACAACCCAGUGGGAUGUUAAUGUGAAUGACUAUGAGAAACCUUGGAGAGGACCGCAAAUGUGGGUGACCCCUUCCCUCUAGGCGAGACCUUAAGGAAUGGACUGUGAGUGGGUCUAGCAUAAUAUUGGGAAAGUCCAGUCCAUGGUGGAUCUAACAUAAUAGUGAGAGUCCAAACCCAGAUAAAACCUGUUCCCGGGCCUGAUCUGGCCCGCGGGCCUUACGUUUGAUGCUCCAGCUUUAAAGAUUGAUGGAAUAAGAAAGCAUUUAUUGACAAUAUAAAGCCAGCCAUCACCCCAGUGCCUUUGCCUGACAUGCAACCCCAUAUCUGUGGAAAGAUUCCCUUUCCACCAAAAGUUCAGGAACAUGAAAUUGCUGGAACCUUUAGUUCCUGAAUUUAUGUAGAGGUGUAUGGUUUGUGU
This is a long non-coding RNA of Nerophis ophidion (straightnose pipefish), 7198 nucleotides long. RefSeq lists it as uncharacterized. The transcript has 3 exons. The record is from RefSeq and is a predicted model, not a curated record. Lineage: Eukaryota; Metazoa; Chordata; Actinopteri; Syngnathiformes; Syngnathidae.